Long non-coding RNA from Callithrix jacchus (white-tufted-ear marmoset), 1946 nucleotides. The record is from Ensembl. Lineage: Eukaryota; Metazoa; Chordata; Mammalia; Primates; Cebidae.
CAAUUUGCCUGGAUUCCAUUUCCUCUGCUAAUGUCUGCAUCCUUUAUCCUUCUGCUAAAACUGAUAGAUUAUUUUAAGGGAGAAGUUGCAUCUUUACCUCAUCAUUUUCUGAUUCAGGAACAUGAAUAUAUCUCCAUGUAUUGAUUGAUUGAUUGAUUGAUUGAUUGUUUAUUGAGGCAAGGUCUUUCUGUAACCCAGGCUAGAGUGAAGAGGCACAAAUACAGCUCACUACAGUCUCAACCUCCUGGGCUCAAGUUGUGCUGGAGUGCACAAUCAUGCCCAGCUAAUUUUUUAAUUGUGCCUGGUGACUGUCUUUGUAAAACCUUCAUAAUGUUUUGCAGUGUUCUUCAUUUGGGGCUAUAUACAUUUCUUGCUAUAUUUGUUCCUAUGUUUUCUAACAGCGAAAAGGGGAAUGGUUAGGCCUUAAGAAAGGAGGCUUCAUUAAAAGUAAGGAAAAUUAAUAGUGCCCAAGGGAAUAUGUUUAGAAGAGGAAUGUAGACUCUGAAAACAGGAUUACUUCCACAUUACAAAAGGACCCUGUUUAGGAGGAAAGAUAUCCUGUCUGAAAAGAAAAUAUAAUAGGGAUAAUCUCAGAUAAUUGACCAUAAAUGAGGUCCUAAGCUUGUGCUGAAAACAUAAACAGCAAGAAUAGAGAAGUAGUCUGGGAGCAGGCAGCUCUCAGAGAGGAGGCGAGAGGAGUGUUGGUUACGGAGUCAGAAGACUCAAGGUUCCUGUGGCUCAGAGGAUGAAUGGGUGGACAGAGCCAAGCAUGCAAUAAAAGAAAGGGAAAAACUGUUUAGAGUAUUAUAAGAAUAAAGUCUUAAAGUAGGGGCUGAGCUAACACAAAAGACAACAAGAAAGCCGUUUUUCUUUUUAAUCACUGUAGCCAAGAAAAUAUCUGGGAAGAAAAGGCUAUGCUGUAUCUCAGACAAUAUAACCUUAGGCUGAGCAUGGUGGCUGACACCUGCAAUCCUAACACUUUGGGAGGCCAAGACAGGAGGAUCACUUGAGCCCAGGACGAUCGCUGGCCCACCAGCCUGGGCAACAAAGUGAGACUCCAUCUCUACAAAAACAUUGUAAAAAAAAAUAGUCAGGUGUGGUAGCACACGCCUGUGUUACCAGCUACUCAGGAGGCUGAGGUAGGAGGAUCACUUGAGCCCAGGAAAUAAACCCUCACUAGCCAUGUUCACACCACUGCACUCUAGCCUGGGAAACAGGGCAAGACUUUAUCUCAAAAACAAACAAAAAAAUAUAUAACUUUAACAAAUGAUAGCAUAAUCAAAAAACUAUUCAAUUUUCUGCUUUAUUUCCAUAUUCGAAGAGAGAAUGAACAUCAUUUGUGAGGCAGACAUUAUGAAGAGAGAAUUAAAACCUACAAUAGAAUAAGAGAUAGUAAGAGAAAUCUUCACUUACUCUAAAUGAGUGCAAAAUUUCAGUUAAUACAAAUUCUAUCCCAAAACAUCAAAAGAGUUUGCAGAUGAGAACAGAGAACUGUUCCUGAGAAUCAAGGAGAAUGGAAAAGGUGACUAACGGCUAGAAAAUGUUUCUACUUCUAAAAAUAGUGGAAGAAUGAGAUUUGUAUGUAAACUGAUGAGCCUUACACAGAUGCCAAACAAAAUUCUAAAACGGAUGAUUUGUAAGCAAGAUACAGUAAGCAAAUACUAAGCACUGGCAACGAGUGUGAAUUCACUAAGAACAAGUCAUGCCAACCAGUCACAUCUUUUCUUAGAUUUGGUUGCCUCUGUGUCAGGAAGAAGGCACGUACAGGGUAUGGCUUUGUUUUAGCAUGGCAUAGCCAAAUAUCAUGAUGCACAUCUUUUGUUGUUAAGAUGGAGGAAUGAGGGCCAGGUAAGAGCAAGAUGACUGGUGGUUUGCUUCAUAGUUAGGCAAUCAAUGUCACCCAAAGAAUAUUGGCCAAAGACUUGACUUCAAUCUUAAAAGGCAAC